CUGGUUCCAAUUGAAGCUAAAAUGAUCCCCGAGCACUGCAAAACCUUGAACACACAAUAAUGAAAUCGUACUUCCUCGCCACCAAUUGGAAUCCAUAGCAGCCUAAGGGUCUCCGAAAUAGAUGAAAUCGAUGGUUGUACCCAAAGAGACGAUUUGCAAAAAUAAAGAAAACAAAAAGAGUGGGGAAAGAGAAGAAAAUUCGGAUAUAGAGACAAAAGAUGGAGAAAAGAAAAGAAAAGAAAAGAAAAGCUGGCAGAGAAUAGAGUUAGACGUCGGUUACAGAGAGGACUUUUGGGGAAACUGAUUCACUCAAUCUCACUGUCCAUGUUAUCUCAACCAC
RNAcentral lists this long non-coding RNA (340 nucleotides) under Gossypium raimondii (Peruvian cotton). RNAcentral describes it as "long non-coding RNA (GRAI_LNC005531)". The record is from RNAcentral. Lineage: Eukaryota; Viridiplantae; Streptophyta; Magnoliopsida; Malvales; Malvaceae.